Molecule: ribosomal RNA, 250 nt
Filed under: uncultured bacterium
Lineage: Bacteria
Description: partial 16S ribosomal RNA
Rfam family: Bacterial small subunit ribosomal RNA
Source: RNAcentral
AACGAACGCUGGCGGCAGGCCUAACACAUGCAAGUCGAACGCUCGUAGCAAUACGGGAGUGGCGCACGGGUGAGUAACGCGUGGGCACCUGCCCGGUGGUCCGGAAUAACCGCGGGAAACUGCGGCUAAUACCGAAUACGCCCUUAGGGGGAAAGAUUUAUCGCCAUCGGAUGGGCCCGCGUAGGAUUAGCUAGUUGGUGAGGUAACGGCUCACCAAGGCGACGAUCCUUAGCUGGUCUGAGAGGAUGAU